Molecule: ribosomal RNA, 468 nt
Filed under: uncultured bacterium
Lineage: Bacteria
Description: partial 16S ribosomal RNA
Rfam family: Bacterial small subunit ribosomal RNA
Source: RNAcentral
GACGAACGCUGGCGGCGUGCUUAACACAUGCAAGUCGAACGGACAGACGAUGCUCUUGCGGGGUGCACGAGAGGCGAACAGGUGAGAAAAACGUGAGUAAACUGCCCUUGAAUUUCGGAUAAAACUAGGAAACUGGGGCUAAUAUCGGAUAGGAGCUCCUGCACCACGGUGGGGAAUGGAAAGAUUCGGCGGUUGGGGAUGGAAUAGCGGCUUAUGAGCUUGUUGGUGGGGUAGUGGCUUACCAAGGCUUUGACGGGUAGCCGGCCUGAGAGGGUGACCGGCCACAUUGGGCCUAAGGUACGGCCCAGACUCCUACGUUAGGCAGCGGUGGGGAAUAUUGCGCAAUGGGCGGAAGCCUGAUGCAGCAGCGUCGCGUGCGGGAUAACGGCCUUCGGGUUGUAAACCGCUUUCGCCUGUGACGAGGCGUGAGUGGCGGUAAUUGGUAAGAAAGCAACGGCUAACUACGUG